GCGCGCGCAGGCGGCGGCGCGUCCAGCCGCCGGCGGAGCUCAAGACCUCCGGAUCGUGGUGGGCGGCGGAUUUCGAGCGCAGGGGACGGCGACCUUGAGCGGUGGGUUCAAUCGCACCUCGCGAUUGUCGGCGUCCUUACAGCGCCAUACGAGACAGUGCAGAGGAGGCGGGUGACGACGGUGGUCGAAGCCGCUGGGAUGGAGACGGGUGGAGGUGGUGCUGCAGCAACGCAAAGGGGGCGGCCGCGAACAUGGGAAGUCGCCGACGAACGCGGACUACGGCAAGGGUCCCAUGGCGGCGGCAGGUGGGCGGGCUUGGCGAGCGGUAGGAGCGGAAGAAUGUCUGGUGGUGGGGGCAGGCUGACCGGUGCCGGUCGCGCUCCCUCAGCCAUGCCCUCACUCGUCGUCGUCCUGGUCGCCUCUUCCCCAACCAUAAUCGACUGGCAGAGCAAGGUUUAUUUCACAUGUGUCUCCAGGAUAUCGAUUCAUGGCGAGGCUAAUCCUAGACAGUAAAAGAUGGGAACCAAGAAUGCUUGUAGAAUGAAUUCCUGGGCAUCAUCAAAAGGAUGCGUGCAAUGGCCUGCUGUAAUAUCAAAUUUGGUGUUGAAAAUGGCGUCGAUUUCUAUGAUGUUUCGUUCGUGAAGGAUGCCAAUGUUAUGCAUGAAUUCAAAGAUUACCUCAAAGGUGGCAUGUGCUGUGGAAUCAAGCAGAUGGGAUGGUGUGUAGCGGAAGGCGGCCUCCGUUGUUGGACACAGCUGCCUACCGAAUGACCAUCAGCACCUACGAGCUCGCUUCAGCCAGAGAUCCUGCAACUGAGUUUAAGAGAAUGAUUGGCAAAGGUGGAGGAGCUCAUGAAGACUAUACAUAAUUCUCACUGUCUUUAUCAAGUAACCGAUCCAAAAAAUCCAGAUGCACACUUCAAAUGGGACCUGAGAUAUAGAAGAACACAGUAGGCAGCUGUUGGUUCAGCAGGCAGACUGGCAGGUGUUGGGAUGCACCUGUGGAUGAAAAAUUCAUCCGUGGAGAUAGUGUCCAUGGAACCUUCAGAGAGAGUUGUAAUUUUAGAGUUGCUGAAGGAGGCCCUAUCAUCGACCAGUCGAAUGGCUGUCGAGCAUUAUGUUGGAAAUUCUUCAAAGAUUACGAUAUACUUUGUGAGGCAAUGGGUUGCUAUAAAUUUGACCUUCUCAUUAUGGUGUUCAUGUCAUGUGGACAAAUAGAUUGUAUGGACGGAAGAAGGCGCAGAACAGGGCAGGCCAGCCUUCUCUUAUCCAGAUUUUCGAGGGAAGCAUCCUUCCAUGACAAUGGCUAAAUCAUGUGUUUCUUUCGUCCAUUGAAAGGCAUGGCAGGUUACAUCAUGUUCGCCGGCAUCGAUGCUGACGGGUAGCUCCGCAAGGUGAUGUAAUUUCUAUCUGAAUUCAGGUUUAAGCUCAUGAGAGUGCACAUACCUUAUUCUGAUGCUCAUGAGAGUAGCUCACUGGUGCAGAAAUAUGGUUUAUACUUUGAAGAGUGUUAAAACCUUGCAUCAUUUGCCAUUUUGCCUUCUUUUUAGUCUUUACAAGAAAAUAAGGUCCUCCCCUCUUUACAAUUUAGAUAGAAGCCAAUAUUAAACCACUCUUGAAAUCUUAAGCGUUAUUCGAUCGAACUUAUCAA
Molecule: non-coding RNA, 1650 nt
Organism: Lolium perenne
Lineage: Eukaryota; Viridiplantae; Streptophyta; Magnoliopsida; Poales; Poaceae
Source: RefSeq, a predicted model, not a curated record